AAAAUCCAAACUAAUUAUAAUAUAAAAACAAAACCUUUUAAAUAAAAAAAAUGUUUCCAGUUUUUGGCCCUGAAAACAGCUGCCACUUUAUAUAAUGCUAAAAUUGAUUUCGACUUGUCAACAAAAUUUGUCCUAAAAAAAUCUAAAGCCCACGCAUCCCCACCCCAUUCCAAUAAAAAUGAAAUAAAUAGCUGCUGCCAAAUUCAUUUGAAAGGGUCUUCCCGAAUCGACUUGACGUACACAG
RNAcentral lists this long non-coding RNA (244 nucleotides) under Mytilus galloprovincialis (Mediterranean mussel). The record is from RNAcentral. Lineage: Eukaryota; Metazoa; Mollusca; Bivalvia; Mytilida; Mytilidae.